GAUGUCUGGAUAACUGUGGCAAUUCUAGAGCUAAUACAUGCAAUCAAGCUCCAACCUUCGUGGGACGAGCGCUCUUAUUAGACCAAGGCCAACCUGCUGGGCAACUGGCAGUUAGCUGUGGUGACUCUGGAUAAACACAGUUGAUCGCACGACUUUACGUCGGCGACGUAUCUUUCAAGCGUAUGCCCUAUCAGCUGUCGACGGUAGGGUAGCGGCCUACCGUGGCAUCAACGGGUAACGGGGGAUCAGGGUCCGAUCCCGGAGAGUAAGCCUGAGAGACGGCUUACACAUCUAAGGAAGGCAGCAGGCGCGCAAAUUACCCAAUGGGGAAACCCUGAGGUAGUGACAAGAAAUAACAAUACGCGACUCUUUCGAGGCCGCGUAAUUGGAAUGAGCACAGUCUAAAUCCUUUAGCGAGGAUCAAUUGGAGGGCAAGUCUGGUGCCAGCAGCCGCGGUAAUUCCAGCUCCUAUAGCGUAUAUUAAAGUUGCUGCAGUUAAAAAGCUCGUAGUUGACAAU
This 518-nucleotide ribosomal RNA is filed under the name Spirobranchus taeniatus. Its description in RNAcentral is "SSU rRNA". It matches the Rfam family "Eukaryotic small subunit ribosomal RNA", at positions 134 to 641 of the family's 1831-position model. Lineage: Eukaryota; Metazoa; Annelida; Polychaeta; Sabellida; Serpulidae. The record is from RNAcentral.